CGCACUAGUCGGGGAGUUAGCGGUGCCCUGUCACCCGCAAUCCGCUGCAGCGGGGAUGAAUUCCCGGCCGAGGGUGUGCACUGUAUCGUCUGACCCAUGUAAGUGGUGAUGAGGAGCCGGUCUUACGCAACGAGAACCCGUGAACCAUGUCAGGCGGGGAACCGAGCAGCAUUAAGCGGACCUUCUCGUGUGCCGUGAGGUAGCCGUUUCUGAGCCGGCUGUAUGGGUU
Molecule: signal recognition particle RNA, 229 nt
Filed under: chicken gut metagenome
Description: Bacterial large signal recognition particle RNA
Rfam family: Bacterial large signal recognition particle RNA
About the family: The signal recognition particle (SRP) is a universally conserved ribonucleoprotein involved in the co-translational targeting of proteins to membranes. Archaeal SRP consists of a 7S RNA and homologues of the eukaryotic SRP19 and SRP54 proteins. In most bacteria, the SRP consists of a 4.5S RNA and the Ffh protein (a homologue of the eukaryotic SRP54 protein).
Source: RNAcentral